Molecule: long non-coding RNA, 292 nt
Filed under: Nicotiana benthamiana
Lineage: Eukaryota; Viridiplantae; Streptophyta; Magnoliopsida; Solanales; Solanaceae
Description: long non-coding RNA (NBEN_LNC016721)
Source: RNAcentral
CAUUAUGAAGAGUAAGGGAAGAAGUUAAUGCAAAAGAACCUGUACAAGUUACUUUUACUUUGUAACCAUUAGGUAAAGUUACAAGAUAAGGAACACUCAAAGGUAUGAUGUUAAAGAGUAGGUUUUUAUCAUGUGUCAUAUGAUUAGAUGCCCCUGAACCAAUGAUCCAGGUAACAGAAUUAAUAUGUGUAAGCAUGCAUAAUUUGGAAUCAGAAACAAGACUCCCAGUCAACAUAGUACCAGCAAAAUUAGCAGCACACAUGGGAGGAGGAGCUUGAUCACUGGAAUCCCC